AAAUGCGAUAAGUAGUGUGAAUUGCAGAAUUCAGUGAAUCAUCGAAUCUUUGAACGCACAUUGCGCCCCUUGGUAUUCCAUGGGGCAUGCCUGUUCGAGCGUCAUUUGUACCCUCAAGCUCUGCUUGGUGUUUGGUGUUUGUCCCCGUCUCCGCGCGUGGACUCGCCCCAAAGUGAUUGGCAGCCGGCGUACUGGUCCCGGAGCGCAGCACAUGUCGCGCAAACGAGUGCCUUGGUACGGCGGCGUCCAUAAGCCCCUCUCUCACGCUCUUGACCUCGGAUCAGGUAGGGAUACCCGCUGAACUUAAGC
RNAcentral lists this unclassified non-coding RNA (309 nucleotides) under plant metagenome. RNAcentral's name for it is "partial contains 5.8S ribosomal RNA, internal transcribed spacer 2, and large subunit ribosomal RNA". The stretch from base 1 to 104 matches the Rfam family "5.8S ribosomal RNA", at positions 51 to 154 of the family's 154-position model. The record is from RNAcentral.